CAAAAGAGCCAGAGGAAAGACACAAUUACAAUACAGGAAAGCAAAAGACAAAAAAGCAGAUGAACAGAUACCAUUUAUUAUAACUGAAGACUAAGAAAUCAUUGCAGCUGGAAUGACCACUAGAACAGCCUACCACUUGAGAGUAUGACAAAAGUCAAGGGUUAUCGUUAAUGAUUGAGAACUACAUGAAACAAAGUCCUGAAGUCAUGGAUCUAAUGGCAAAACUAAGUCAAUUACAAGUAUCUCAUUCUAUUAUCUGUACUCCUUCUUACCCACCUCUAUAUAAUUUAGUAUAUUUUAGCAUAGAUGAAUAUACAGAGUGGAAUACUACCCAAAUAUAUA
This is a long non-coding RNA of Piliocolobus tephrosceles (Ugandan red Colobus), 342 nucleotides long. RefSeq lists it as uncharacterized. The transcript is spliced from 3 exons. NCBI's taxonomy places the organism in Eukaryota, Metazoa, Chordata, Mammalia, Primates, Cercopithecidae. The record is from RefSeq and is a predicted model, not a curated record.